GGAGGGAUGGCUGAGUGGCUUAAGGCAUUGGUUUGCUAAAUCUUCUUUUAUCAUGGGUUCGAAUCCCAUUUCCUCCG
Molecule: transfer RNA, 77 nt
Filed under: Gastrodia elata
Lineage: Eukaryota; Viridiplantae; Streptophyta; Magnoliopsida; Asparagales; Orchidaceae
Description: tRNA-Ser
Rfam family: tRNA
About the family: Transfer RNA (tRNA) molecules are approximately 80 nucleotides in length.
Source: RNAcentral